Camellia sinensis is the source of this 1941-nucleotide long non-coding RNA. RefSeq lists it as uncharacterized. NCBI's taxonomy places the organism in Eukaryota, Viridiplantae, Streptophyta, Magnoliopsida, Ericales, Theaceae. The record is from RefSeq and is a predicted model, not a curated record.
UCACCAACCUCCCUUUCGUCUCUCUCUCUCUCUCUCUCUCUCUUUGAAACCCUAAUGCAUCCAUAGAUUCUUUAAUGGUCUCAUCCAUAAAUCUGAACUCAAUCUUUAAUUUCAAACCCUAAAUACUCUAUAUAUUAAAGAUCAACUAUGAAAACCCUCUUUGAUUCAAGGCUAUUGAUAAAGAAAACCCUGUAACUUCGAAGUUUUGAAGUUUCAAAACGAAGCUUUGUUGUUUUUCCCGACUCUCUAAGAUCUUCCUCUGGUGACAGCCAUAUUUUACGACUCAAAGUUCUUGACUCAAUGAUCAACCAAACCCCAAAUAAUAGAUCAUCCAAAUCAACCUACUGCCCAGGAUGCUACUGUUAUUCCCCCUUCUACUAUCCAAGAAGACCCUAUUGAUAAUCCUUCAAAACCACCUAAGGUGCAUGCAAAAGGUACUGGGAGAAAACCUUCAAGAGCAUGGGAUCAUUUUGAUAAAAUCAAGUCUAAAGAUGGGGUAACUAGGGUUGUUUGUAAAUAUUGUCAAAAGGAGUAUUUGGCUGAUUCAAAGGGGCAUAGGACAAGCAACUUAUUGAGUCACUUGGCUUUUUGUCGAAAAUAUCCUCACAGAGAUGUGGAUAAUAAUGGACAACAAACUUUAUCUUUUCAGUCCAAAAAAGAUGGAGACGAGGGUGUUAAUCUUGUGGCAACGAGCGUUAGUGUAGAAGCUGCAAGAAGAGCUCUUGCUGAGAUGAUAGUGCUUGAUGAAUUACUUUUUAGGUUUGUGGAAGGUAAAGGGUUUAAGAGAUUUUGUGCUGUUUUGCAACCAAAGUUUAACAUUCCAUCUCGUGUUACCAUUGCUAGAGACAUAGCAGGGAGUUUCAACAAUGAGAGGGAUCGGUUGAGGAAAGUAUUAAAAGGGCGUAGGAUUUGCCUUACCAUGAAAGAAAAUUUUGAAAAGCAUUGAGGUAAUGGGAAGAAAAUCAACUUACUUGCGUAUGUUGUUGUUUUACUUGAUCCUAGAAAGAAACUGAGGUAUCUGAAAUUCUGUUUUGCAUAAUUACUUGUUGAAAGAGUGGUGAAUGAGAUAACAGGUUGGGUAAAGGAUUGUCUAUCUCGUUUAUAUGAGCAUUAUGCUUCUCAUGAUUCGGUAAUUAUCGAAAUGUCUAAUGUGUGGAAAGGAUCAGCGAUGAAGGUUGAUGAUCCACAUCUAUUAAUUGCUUCUCAAUUUAAUAUUUAUUUGGAAAAGGAAUGCUCUAGUGUGUGUAAAUCUGAGGUUGAUAGGUACUUGGCAGACAGGUGUGAAGCUUCCAAUGAAGAAAAGUUUGAUAUAUUAAGAUGGUGGAAGGUCAAUUCUUCCAGUAUAGAGUGUUGUCCCAAGUUGCAUGUGAUGUCUUGGCAAUACCCAUCUCUAUAGUAGCUUCUGAAUUAGCCUUUGAUACAGGAGGACGCAUUCUAGACCCAUUUCGUAGUUCAUUAUCUCCGGUGAUGGUGGAGGCUCUGAUAUGUACACAUAAUUGGCUUCAAAGCACAGUUCCUAUUUCUCUUCGAAAGGUAAUGGAUAAUGUGGAGGAACUUAAACAAUAUGACCCUACAGCUCUUUCUGAAUUUGCAUCAACCUCAAACCCAAGUUCAAAUGUUAUCACACUCUAGUAUGGCUUGGUAAAGUUACUCAAUUCUACAUCUUUAAUAUUUACUUCUUACUUAAUUAAUAAAAUUUAUUUGCAACAUGUUCUCAUCUUCUAUGUUUUUUGAAUUUGCAAGCUUCAAUCUUUUUGGUUUCAUGGGGAGUUAACUGAGUUUCUUGACUAAUUUUUUUAUACAGUUAACAUAGAUCAGCACUUUUCUUUUUGACUUCAUAAACAAAUAUUUUUGCACAUGGAUAAUGAUUGAGAUAACUAUACUUGUGAAUGUUUUGAUGGAUGGUGACAAACUAAGUAGUUAGCUUAUUUUGUUAGGUUU